UUACAAAGCAUCCAAUCAAGGAGCAUGCCUUGUCUUCUUACAUAUAUAAACUACAAAGGUACACAUCAUACUUCCCAAGGAACGGUUCAUGAUAUGAAAAUAAACCUCUCAUGCCAAUAAAUGCCAAAGAUUAUUCUAACUAGUUCAUUAUUCUAAGUAGUUCAUCUCUAAUUUAACACAUUAUCUGAAAAUUUAGAAAGUAACAAGAAAUAAAAUGCAGCAAACUAAAAUCAAAAGG
RNAcentral lists this unclassified non-coding RNA (238 nucleotides) under Hevea brasiliensis (rubber tree). Lineage: Eukaryota; Viridiplantae; Streptophyta; Magnoliopsida; Malpighiales; Euphorbiaceae. The record is from RNAcentral.